This 1711-nucleotide long non-coding RNA is filed under the name Rattus norvegicus (Norway rat). Its description in RNAcentral is "long non-coding RNA NONRATT015098". The record is from RNAcentral. Lineage: Eukaryota; Metazoa; Chordata; Mammalia; Rodentia; Muridae.
GAACAGGAGUGGGAAAUGGGGCAUUAGGAAGGAGUGGAGGGAGGAGUACAUUAUAUACAUGUAGGAAAAUGCCAUGGUGAUUAUGCUAAUGCACUUUGAAAAAAGAGUAACCACUACUUAAAUUUAUAUAGUUCUGUGCUCUAGGAUUAUUCAGUUGAUGAAAAUGCUUUCUUGGGCCAGUAAGGUAUGGUGCCUCAGCAGGUGAAGGCACUUGGUGCCAAGCCCCUUAUGAUCCCCAGGACACAUGUGGUGGAAGGAGAGAGUGGGUACUGCCUACCCUGUUGUAAAUACUGUGGCGGGGGAGGGGGAGUGAUGAUAGGAUACAAGCACGCAUGUGUGCACCCAUUCAGUGAAUAAAUGUGACAGAUUUUUAAUAAAAGGAAAAAAAUGCUUCCUUCUAAUACUAUUUUGUCUGUUUUUAAAGGUUUUACUUCUUUCAUGCAGUUCUCAAGUUUGUUUUAGAAACUUCCUUUUUAUGCUUACUGAUUAUUUCUUUCUGGGUUUUCAUUCAGGAUUUUCCACAGUGGCUAACCCUAGAUUUUAUUCUUGCAAAUGUUUCCUGAAGGAAUUCAGUUAGCCUCAAAGGCUUCCUACUGCUGCCUAUUGUGUUCUCCUUUGCAGUUUCAUGGCCUCUGAGCAGUUUUCUAAAAAAUACAUUGUUUGCUUGUGUUGGAUGUUAGGCUAAGGUUUCAUAUUACCUGAUUUAAUGUAUCAACCAUUCUUUGAUGUGUAAAUCUCAUUUACUAAUUAAGAAACUGAAUCUAGAAAAUGCAGCUAGUGAUGAAGCUGAGCAUUGCUCUUGAGAGCAUGAUUCCAGAGUGCACUCAUGCCUGUAUCUGAAUUCUGCAUUCUCCCAUGUCCCUUUUGAGCCACUCUAAGGAGUGCCCCAAAAUGGACGCUUACAGAAGAACUUAGCAUAGAGCUGAACACCUUGAAAUUUGGUGGAAAUAUGGAACAAAUGUUGGAAGAGACAGGAUGUAAAACUGUCAACAUCUUAUGCCAAAUUUAGGUCAUUUUAGACUGUACAUAUUUGUGAAAUAUCUUCAGAUUAUUAUCAGUUCUUAUUGGUCAAAAUAGGCAUUGUGUUGGAAGUUAAACUGGAUAUAAAAAUUGAACCUGUGCCUAACAAAUGUAAGAUUUUAAUAUCAAUAUAGAUCUCUCACAAAACUUCAACAUUCUAGUGUUGUGCCAUUCAAAAGGGCAGUUUGGGAACUGAAGUAGCUCUGUAAUAGAGCGCGUAUGUGGCAUGCAUGAGGUCUGGGUUCUGUCUUCAAUGCUAAAAAAUCCACAUAAGCAAAUGACAGUUUUGAUAAAAAAUUUGGGCAUAUCAAAAUCCCCCAAAAGACUUGAUUUUCACCUUGUAUUUCUUAAACCUUGUUUAGGUAUUUCUUUAAACAUGGAACAAUGGAGCCAGCUGAAGGAACAGAUCUCUGACAUAGAUGACGCAGUAAGAAAGCUGUAAAGUCUGAGCCAUAUCAAGCCUGUACUGUCGUAGCUGUUUUACUCUGUCUUUUCACAUUGGCUUUUGUUUUCUAAAUGUUGUUUUCCACGCUGUUGUAUAUUUGGAUUGCAGAACAAUUUGUAAGACAAAUACUUUUUUUUAAUGUGCAUUAUUAAAAUGUUCUAAGUGAAGCUAAUUGUCAACUUUAUUAAAGAGGAUUGCUUUGUGCCCCUUACCUAGUGUAAAAUAAAGUCAGAUCAUUACAAUCUU